Molecule: ribosomal RNA, 740 nt
Filed under: uncultured marine bacterium
Lineage: Bacteria
Description: bacterial SSU rRNA
Rfam family: Bacterial small subunit ribosomal RNA
Source: RNAcentral
UCUGAUGCAGCGAUGCCGCGUGAGUGAAGAAGGCCUUUGGGUUGUAAAGCUCUUUCGUCGGGGAAGAAAAUGACUGUACCCGAAUAAGAAGGUCCGGCUAACUUCGUGCCAGCAGCCGCGGUAAUACGAAGGGACCUAGCGUAGUUCGGAAUUACUGGGCUUAAAGAGUUCGUAGGUGGUUGAAAAAGUUGGUGGUGAAAUCCCAGAGCUUAACUCUGGAACUGCCAUCAAAACUUUUCAGCUAGAGUAUGAUAGAGGAAAGUAGAAUUUCCAGUGUAGAGGUGAAAUUCGUAGAUAUUAGAAAGAAUACCGAUUGCGAAGGCAGCUUUCUGGAUCAUUACUGACACUGAGGAACGAAAGCAUGGGUAGCGAAGAGGAUUAGAUACCCUCGUAGUCCAUGCCGUAAACGAUGUGUGUUAGACGUUGGAAAUUUAUUUUCAGUGUCGCAGCGAAAGCGAUAAACACACCGCCUGGGGAGUACGACCGCAAGGUUAAAACUCAAAUGAAUUGACGGGGACCCGCACAAGUAGUGGAGCAUGUGGUUUAAUUCGAAGAUACGCGCAGAACCUUACCAACACUUGACAUGUUCGUCGCGACUCUAAGAGAUUAGAGUUUUCGGUUCGGCCGGACGAAACACAGGUGCUGCAUGGCUGUCGUCAGCUCGUGUCGUGAGAUGUUGGGUUAAGUCCCGCAACGAGCGCAACCCUCACUUUUAGUUGCCAUCAUUAAGUUGGGCACUC